RNAcentral lists this microRNA precursor (133 nucleotides) under Oryza sativa Indica Group (long-grained rice). RNAcentral describes it as "osa-MIR1869". RNAcentral also lists the same sequence under 1 other name. The record is from RNAcentral. Lineage: Eukaryota; Viridiplantae; Streptophyta; Magnoliopsida; Poales; Poaceae.
AAGGAACACCUGAGAACAAUAGGCAUGGGAGGUAUUGGGAAAACACAGGAACAUAUUGUGACCCCUAAUUUUAAAGGGAAAUAAUGGUUGAGGCUUUCCUCCAUGUUCCCAUGCCUAAUGCUCUUAGGUGCUC